This is a long non-coding RNA of Erpetoichthys calabaricus (reedfish), 8970 nucleotides long. RefSeq lists it as uncharacterized. The record is from RefSeq and is a predicted model, not a curated record. Lineage: Eukaryota; Metazoa; Chordata; Cladistia; Polypteriformes; Polypteridae. The transcript has 2 exons.
GAAAGGACUGUCUGUUGAUCUUGGAAGGCUAAAGAACGUUCAGAUUCGAGAGAUGAAACGAGCAAGUCAUGGCUGUAUAGAAUUUGGCAAACAAUUUCCCAUAGGAACAUUUUAUUACUCCAAGGUUGAUCUUUGAUGGUUCAAGAGACUUAAAAGACACUCUCAUUUAUGUUUCAUUUAAGAAUCAACUUUCUCACAGAUGUUUCUCCUAAAAUUAUUUAUGAGAAGUAGCUUUAGAUAAAAAGGAGACGUGAGAUUACAACAGAGGUAAAAGGAGUCAAAAUUGAGAAUUUGGUUUGAAAACAUGGUAUAUUUCAUGAGACCUCUUUCUAGUUUCAUGUUAAUCUUUCAUAUUUUUUAGUUAUUAUUGGACAGAUACCUUUAUCCAAGAUAAUUUUCAACAUCUGAGACACAACUGAUUACAUUUAUUUUGCUUUACCAAUUGAAGCACAGGCAGAUGAAGUGACUUUCUUGUGAUCACAUGGUGUCAGUAGUGGGAUUUGAACCUACAACCUCAGGGCUUGAGGUCCAAGGUCUUAAGAAGAUGUCUCCACUUUAUUUCUUUGUUGUCUAGGAGAAACCAAAAUGAUAUUAAGCAGAUCCCUUUUUAGGACUUUUCAUUCCUAUGGGUUAAUUUAUCUAGGCAGGAUAGUAGAAGUUGUGCUAAAGGAGAAUGGUUGUUCGGGGGAGACAGAAAUGACCUUAAUGUACGGGGUGAUGGAGUAAGCGGCUUAGUCAUCCACAUGCUAGUCUGACAGGCUGUGUUGUUCCUUUCUAUAGCUUACUUUCGCUACCAGGCCUACCAAUCUAAAUGAAUUGAUCAAGCAAUUCCUUACAGUUGAGAUCCUCAGUUUCAUAAUAAAUACAAGCAUAUGCUCAUUUGAAAAAGUAAAAUUACUUUUUUUGUCAAGGUUAUUUCUUUUGUAAUUAUCACAAGUAGAAAUGAGCACAUUCAUCACACAUUUGAUUUGUGUAAUUUUUAAACAGCUUCAUUACUUCACAUCUAAUUAACCAUGAAAUACAGAUAAAUAUUUCAAGCUCAAACCAUGAAAACCCAGUCAUUUUGUUAAAUAGUGUGAGGAGUACAUAUUAUUAUUGUUAAAUUGUUUUUUUUAUAGACUAUACAGCAUAUUUUUAAGCAUAUGCCCCCAUUUCAUAACGUUUUCUGUCUUAAUGUAUCAUAUUGAAUAACUGUAAAAGUCCCCUGGUGGGUUAUAGAAAUUCAGACAAAAUAAUGGAAAUCUGGCACUGCUGUUAAUGUCCCUCUGCCCACAGAAUCAAUCAAGGAUACCCAGAGUAUACAAAAUGAUUUCCCAAAGAACCACUCAUCAUCUGUGACUCAUGGCCUUAACUAAGCUGCAAAGCUAUUUUAAGUUAUUCAUUGAGAGUUUUGUUCAAGACACUUCACAUGGGAAGUGUUGACAACAACGGGCCAUUAAACCCAAAAUAGCUUGUCAAAGCUAUUCGCCUGACACAUCCAAAAUAAUACUGAACAUUUUUUUUUAGAACAUUAGAAUAAUCUCGGCCAGAACAGGCCAUUCAGCCCAACAAAGUUUGCAGUUCCAAUCUGCUUAAUUCUUCUAAAAAAAACAUUAGAUCUAGUUUUGAAAGUCUGUGCGGUCCUACUGUCUACCACACUACUUGGUAGCUCAUUCCAUGUGUCUGUGGUUCUCUGUUUAAAGAAAAACUUCCUAAUGUUUGUGCAAAAUUUACUCUUAACAAGUUUACAACUAUGUCCCGUGUUAUUGAUGAAUUUAUUUUAAAAUAACAGUCUUGAUCCACUGGACUAAUUUCCUUUAUAAUUUCAAACCCUUCAAUCAUGUCUCCUCUUAAUCUUCAUUUGUUUAAACUGUAUAGGCUCAGCUCUUUUAAUCUUUCCUUAUAACUCAACCCCUGCGGCCCUGGAAUCAGCCUAGUCACUCUUCUCUGGACAUUUUCUAAUGCUGCGAUGUCCUUUUUGCUGGAGACCAAAACUACACACAGUACUCCAGAUGAGGCCUCACCAGUACGUUAUAAAACUUGAGCAGAACCUCCUUGGACUUGUACUCUACACAUCAGGACGCUAUAUAACCUAACAUUCUGCUAGCCUUUUUACACUAAAUCCUGCUCAUAAGGUGUACUCUCGAUUUUCUGACCACCCAUUUUGCAUUCAAACCUAAUAUUUUAACUUCCUAUGUAUAAUACUUUACAUCUACUUACAUUAAAUUCCAUCUGGAACUAAUCUGCCUAAGCCUGUAUGCUGUCCAAGUCCUUCUGUAAUAAUUUAACGGAUUCAAGAUUACAGUAUCUGCCAAUCCACUUGACUUGGUAUCAUCUGUAAACUUAACCAGCUUAUUAUUUAUAUUCUUAUCCAAAUCAUUUAUAUAUAUUAAAAAUAGCAGUGGAACACCACUCACCAUCCUCUCACUAUCACCCUGUGUUUCCUUACUAACCUUAUCUACAAGCAGUUCAUGCUGUCAUAUAAGUACAUGUAUCUUUAGUUGUGGUAAUAAGAGCAUAGAAAGCACAACGUCCUCACAGGUGGCGCAGUGGUAGUGAUGCUGCUAUGCAGUAAGGAGACUAUGGAAGAUUGUGGGUUCGCUUCCCGGUUCCUCCCUGUGUGGAUAGUGCUUUGAGUACUGAAAAAAGCGCUACUAUAUAAAUGUAAUUUAUUAUUAUUAAUGUGUCCAGCGUGCGGUCGUCCAGGCAAGAGCGCACCUUCGUGCAGAAGUACGCCAGCCGCUGAGAAAGCACGCUCUGCCUCCACUGAAGUAGGCGGCACAGUCAUCAGAUACUGAUACACUUGUUCUAAACAAUGCCCGUGCUUGCCGUUGCUCUGAAACACAGCCGUUUCAACUUUUACUGAUGCAUCCAGUUUCUUGUCAUCAUUCUGUGAUGGCAUGUUUCUUGGCACAGAUAAUGUGGAUGCAACAGACUGACGCAUUGCAAUUUCAAGUUGCUGUUCAAAGCUGUUGUCUGAUGAAGUGCAAGCUGCAGCAAUUAUUUAUUAUUACAGUAUUAAAUAAUUAAUUAUUUUCAACUAUAACUCUGUUAUUUCUUGAUCUAUUUUUACACUUUUACACGCUAUACAUGCGAGCUUGGCAGUUCCCGUUUUUCCAGGAAUUACAGCAGUUUCGGGAAUGAAAAAUGUCCGGGAAUGGAUUCCCUAGGGUCUAUGUAUUUAGGCUAAUUUAGCAGAGAACCUGAGCGAUGCAUGUUAGAGACAUGGGCAGACAAGUAUGGCAACUUCAAAAGAGAGCAGUCUGUGCUGUUGUUUAAGCCAAAUUGAUUUCUUUGACACAUGGAAUUCAGCCGCAUAUUGUGCAUUGCUACCAUAGCCGACUUUUGACACAUUGUGCAGUCAAACUUUUGUGACUUUUGUAAAUGUUAUCAUCAAUGGCACCAGAUAUUUUUAUUUAUUCUUGAACCUGUUUGACAAUGAUUUUUAAAGUAUUUUUAGAAACAUACUGCAUUUUUCAAGAUUUACUGAAACACCCCGUCUGUAACAAGUGUAAUGAAAGCACACAACAACUAUAUACAGUUGGGGACACAACCCGGUGACCUCUUAAUUGAAGAAAAUAACAAACAGUUUUUCAAAGCAAGCAAUUGAGGGAAUGUCUUUUUAGAUGUGAGCAGGAAGGCGCGGGUCCAGGAAGAUGGACAACAGAAGUGACGUCAGAGGUGGAAUGGCAGUUAAGAGGGAGGAAGAGAGAGAAGGAAUUAAACAACUCCUGGUUUGGUGGGGAAAUUACCAUCACCAGAGCCCUUAAGCUGUCUGCUCUGCACAUGUAUGGGACACAAGAGAAGUGGAGGUCUACUUUGGAAAAAACAACAAAAAAUUUUGCAAGAGAAUUAGAAAAAGCAGGAACAGAAAUUUAGUGCACCACAUUAGACUUUAGUAUCAUUUUUUUUAUGCUUCAUAAAAUAUGUUUCUGGUUCAGUCUUUUCCUCCUUUUGUUGGUUGACAUGUUAUUUUAGGCAUUACCGUUUAAGUGUAGGUUAAAUAACAUUUCUCAUUUAUUUCUGGUUAGGAAAUAUCACCAAGCAGUAAUUGUAGGGAAACUGGAAAAGAGAGUUGGAGACAAACUAUAUUUCAAAUUUUACAUCUCUAAUUACAGCAGUGAGGAGUGAGAAAGAAAUGUGGUGUGUUUCAUUCUUACCCACACACGAUCAAUAAGGCUAGAAAUUCUGAGCACCGGCUUACAUUACAUUAUUUAUUGGCAAAUCAGAGAUAUUUCAUCCUCUAAGUAUUAAUCGUGGAAAUUUGUUUAAAUACACAACUACAUCACCUUCAGGUUAAUUUUGAUUGGGUGAUUUUUAUGGCAUGCUAAGCUUGUUGUUUUUGUUCAUAUACAGUCAGCAUCAGAAGUCUGCACGCACAUUGAAAUUUUAGAUCUUAUGGAUAUGAGAGCUGAAAUCGGGACAAAUCUUUUUACAACUUUAAUAAGAACUCAUUACACACAAUUUAAGUGAAAAUCAAAUGGGUCAUCAGUUUGCCACGUGAGACUGUGUUCUAAAAUGAAGGCAGUAUCUUUACAAAAUAAAGUUCCACAUAGUGAAACACUAUAAGUGAUCAUAAGUGUGACCUUUUUUUUGCGUUAUUAUUGUCUAGUUGUCUACAGAACAGAGACAGCAAUUCACAUCUGGGCAUCGACAUUCAGUGUAAAUAACGAUGCUUGCCAAGGACCUUCUGAGAUUAAUCUACGUCCCUGGCCCUGCAAGGUGCCCAGGCGGAGGGCAAAUGGCAAAGUUUUGUGCAUAGCUGGUCUCUUUUUAAUAUGCCUGAAUCUCACAACAAUGAUUUUCAUUUUGCUUUUUGUCUUCUUAAAAAGACAUGGAUAUGCUGCUUAGCAAUAUAUGUGCAAUCUCAAAAUGUGGAUCAAUAUCAAUAUCAAUAUAAAUGGAUAUUUUUAUUGCAUUUUAAAGUUUUUCUUAGCAUUAGUAUCCCAGUAUCUAGCUAUAAAAUGCAAGAGUAGGCUAAUUAUUUUUUUAAAUUCAUAAAAUAUGCUUCACUGUUGAACAUAAUUUCAUGUGGCAAUCUAAUGCUUACAGUGGGCAUUGUGCAAGUGAUGUCAUGUAUUGGGCGUGUCGAGUAGGGGUGACAUUUGUAGAUAUUGAGGAAUGAAGUUACACUCUGUUGAUGGGUUUAUCUGCCUUGUAGCUGCACAGACCGAAGUUUGAUCCCAGGUCACAUUUUUUAUGAUAUUCACUUGCUCUCCUCUUGUUUAAUUGGAGUAUUUUGCUUUUCCCAGUUUCUAAGGAUGUACAGAUAAGGUUAACUUAUUAUUUUAAAUUUGCCCAAUAUGAGUGACUGCAAGUGCCCCCUGCAGUAAACGUGUGCUGUAACUCCCAGCGAAUUUUGAACUGAAUUUGGCACCUUCAAGAGAUAAAUGAAUGAAUGAACGGAUAGAUGAAUUUAGGUCAACACUGUGAAGUAUUUCUUAAUGUAUUGCCUCCCAGGUUUUCGGAUCUGGCUUCACUUAUAAAGCGUUUUCAAAUUGCCUACAAGUCUGCAUGAUUAUUCCUAUUUCCACCCACAUUCCAAACACGUACACGUAAGUUUAAUUGGCAAAUCCAAACCGUAGUGAGUGUGUGCGAACUAACACUUUCUCUAGGGCUAAUUCUUUCUUUGCAUCCAAUACUUCCAGGGCUUUCUCCCAUUUUCUUCAAAUGAAUGGAUGUAUUCAUAAUCCAAAAAUUCACAUUAAAAAAUAAGUUGGAAUAUGUGUGAAAUGUAAUACAAGGCUGAAUAGCUUUGCAUACAAAGAAUAAUUCUAGACAGCCAUGGCCAACCCAAACACCAUGAGCUCCUUCUGUGAAUUUCAUUUUUAAUCAACACACCUCCACUUUACACCUGGCUUGUCAUUUUACUAGCAGGAUGAGAAUUUAAUAAGAAGAGUACAGAAAUGUGAGAACAUACCUGGCACUCGUUUGCAAACAGAAUCACAUUUUAUUAAAAAAAUGCAAUUUAGGAAAUAUGUCAGCAGAUGGAAUUGCCACCAUAAAUAACCAUUUAAUUAUUUCACAGCAAAAGUCCAACAGUGAAAAGCUUUACUUAUUCAUGUUACCAUGUAAAGUUUAAUAUAAAAUCUCUCUCUCUCAUCUACGUAUCUAUUUAUCUAUCGACAGAUAGAUAAGAUAGAGAGUAUAUAUAUAUAUAUAUAUAUAUAUAUUAGUUCAUAUAGCUGUUUCAGCUUAACAUAACAAAAGGUGAAGUGCUUGGCCCCUUAUAGUCCAAUGGAAAUGUUUGACCCACUAUACAGUAUAUAUUUAGGACUACACCGCAACUCGUAUAUUGUAAAGGCAACAAUAUAAAUACAGCUUCUUAGCAAAAAAAAAAACCCUAACGAUGCAAGUCUCAGAUUAGACUAUCGAAGAUAACGACACUUCCGGUUAAAUGCCAGCCAGGCCAAAAGAGGCAGAUCCAGUUGGACAAACACUGGAUGUGAUGUCAGAGGUAGUGCGAUUGAUCUUGUCUGUGGAGGAAGAAAAUGAAACAAGUAUUAGAAUACUGAUGUGACUGGUGAGGAAUUACCACCACAACCCUUUAAGUUGCCCCAAAGACAUGCAUGCAUAAUAGUAUAUACACUUAUGCUUAUGUAUACUAUAUAAACACAUUAUAUAUAUAUAUAUAUAUAUAUAUAUAUAUAAAGUAAAACUGUAAUAUAUGACUUUUUAUUUUAUUUAUUUGUUUUUAUUAUACUGAAACAGACUUUCGAAGAAGGCUAGUUGUCUGUGUAGGUUUUCUCUCCCACGUCGUCAGGUUCACUUAUUUGGUAACAAUAUACCAGCCUCCGUGACCGAGUGGGCCCAGCGAUGGACUAUCCACGAUUGUACCUCCCUUCCACCAAGUAAAGCAGGGAUAGGCCCCACAACCCACCUCUCCAUGACCGUGAACUGCAUUUAGCACAUCUGAGGAUGUUGUGCAGACAGUUGAAGAGAGUGGAAUCUCAGUCUGCUGAUUCACUGCACAUUCAGGAGGCCAUUGACAUCUUGAUGUUCAGUCCCUCCCUAGUGAUGUCUCCCACACAUUCAUCCACCUGAGAUUUUCAUAACAAAUUUCAAACUCCCUGCACAUAAACUCUUCUGGUGUUCAUUUUCUCCAUAAUGAUGUGAUUGUAUUCAUCUUUCUCAGGAAAACACAAUCUGUGAGCAACAUGUGUCAAAAGUAUUUCAGAGGCUCAGAAAUAAACACUUUUCAAAGACAUAAACAGGAGCCAUUUUUGCAGAAUUUGUUCUCCCUUAGUAAAGUGGGUUUCCUUCAGGUGCUGUAUUCUUACUCCCACAAUCUAAGCCUACGUUGUUUGACUGAUUGAUGAUUAAAAAUUGGCCUGGGGUGACAAGAGCACAUAAGCACACCCUACAAUAGCUUGACUGCCUCCUACCUUGUGAAACUCCAACCCCAAAUGUUAUUAACAAAUGUAGAUAGGAAAUGAUGGAGAAACUGGUGGUUUCAGCGUCACAGCUUAUAACACAUCCUAUAGACAUGCAUGCUGAUCGGUUACAGUAAAUGACCCUGUAUGAGGGUGUGGACACCUAUGUUUGUGUUCUGCAAUGGACUGAUGUGCCAUCUUCCAGGAUAGCCUUUAGCUUCUAGUGACACAGAAAGUAGGUAACGAAAAUAGAAAGAUGAAAUGAAAGAAAGGGCCCCAAUCCUUUUUGUGGACUUGAAUGUCUGUCUAAAAGUCCUGUCACAUUACACAACCUUUUAACUCACAGUCUUCGUUUACAUAAUCUUAGCAGUGUGCGACUUCCCCCAACAAAGUCAUAGGGUGGGCUCGGUUUGUGUGAAAGUUAAGAACCAAUGAAGUAAGAUGCAUAUAAUGCAGCUACAAGGGAUACAGAACGUACACCUCCCAAACAGAAGAGAGACCUACGUACCCAACACUCACAACUGUCAUUCACAACAGAAUGACAAAAAGGAAAAACAGGCUUUUGUACAACACUGGCUCUGUCAGGCUCCACAGUAUUGAGUUUAAUAAAAGGGGAGAGCUCAUGAAACUGUGCUGGAAUGUCAUCAGCCAGGCGUCUAUUCUGUCAUAACCUACAACAUCUAGACAUGUAGUUGACAGGAUCGGCAACCUCAGUCCUCGAGUUUGACAUUCCCUCUAACUAGAAAUGACGUAAUGUGACGUCAUCUUAACAAGACAAAAGAUGAAGUGCUUGGCCCCUUAUUUUAUAUUCCAAUAGAAAUGUUUGACCCCUUAAUCUGGGUGGGUGACGGCAGUAACAUACAAAAAAUACACAUAUAAACAAAAAUAACUGUGCAACUUCUACCAGGCAUUUGGAAAGAACGACUCCAUGUGGAUUUCUACCAUUUUCACCUGUUUGGCACCUUAUUUGAAGGUUAAAAGCAAAAAAAAAUCCUGCUACUAUUCUUUACACCUUUCUUUUCCAAAAUUUUUAUAUAAUGAUCAAUAUUGUUGUUUUGUGGACCCAAAUAUACGCCACAUGCCCAUUUGUUUGCCUUCUUUGCUUUCUCUGUAUUUCCAAUAUGGAGGAAGCAUUGCUUUUUUCCUUAUUUUAUUUUGCCUAGGUCUCUGUGAAAGUUGUGCUUUAUGCAUGGUAAUGUAGCAAGAGGCUCAUUUUCCUUCCACUGUUCAAUUUUAGUCAGACUUUGGAGCCUCAGUUUAAAAGCAAAAGACUCCCUAUAGUUACUCUGCCAUGUUUUGUGGCCAUUUCUGAGGAGCUCAGUUGGGUGUCUCGUUUCUCUCAAGCAGAAAGAAGAGCGUGUUCUCAGCAGGUCCCAAUUAAACAAGGCUAAAAUGACAAAUGUUCUUCUGCCCAUCUUACUUGUGAAAACCAGAAAACAUUUGUCGCUGUCACCUUGUGCCAUGUUGUAUUGUAGAAGUGUGUAAUUGAAUAAUUUGCCAGUAGAGUAUUACUUUGCACAACCUGCAACUGGAGCCUUGCCUUUUAGUUCUGACCACCCCACCCCUCUCCAUCCCACCUAUCCUCGUUCCAUCAAAAUAAAAUGCAGAGCAAUAACAA